CCAGCAGCCGCGGUAAUACGGAGGGUGCAAGCGUUAAUCGGAAUUACUGGGCGUAAAGCGCGCGUAGGCGGUUAAAUAAGUCAGAUGUGAAAGCCCCGGGCUCAACCUGGGAACUGCAUUUGAAACUGUUUAGCUAGAGUGUGGUAGAGGAGAGUGGAAUUUCAGGUGUAGCGGUGAAAUGCGUAGAUAUCUGAAGGAACAUCAGUGGCGAAGGCGGCUCUCUGGACCAACACUGACGCUGAGGUGCGAAAGCGUGGGUAGCAAAAGGGAUUAGAUACCCCAGUAGUCGGCGGGGGCGGGCGGGACGGGCGCG
This 313-nucleotide ribosomal RNA is filed under the name uncultured Phormidium sp. RNAcentral describes it as "bacterial SSU rRNA". It matches the Rfam family "Bacterial small subunit ribosomal RNA", at positions 508 to 828 of the family's 1533-position model. The record is from RNAcentral. Lineage: Bacteria; Bacillati; Cyanobacteriota; Cyanophyceae; Oscillatoriales; Oscillatoriaceae.